UGCAGUCGAACGAUGAAGCCCUUCGGGGUGGAUUAGUGGCGAACGGGUGAGUAACACGUGGGCAAUCUGCCCUUCACUCUGGGACAAGCCCUGGAAACGGGGUCUAAUACCGGAUAACACUCCUCAGGGCAUCUUGAGGGGUUAAAAGCUCCGGCGGUGAAGGAUGAGCCCGCGGCCUAUCAGCUUGUUGGUGGGGUAAUGGCCUACCAAGGCGACGACGGGUAGCCGGCCUGAGAGGGCGACCGGCCACACUGGGACUGAGACACGGCCCAGACUCCUACGGGAGGCAGCAGUGGGGAAUAUUGCACAAUGGGCGAAAGCCUGAUGCAGCGACGCCGCGUGAGGGAUGACGGCCUUCGGGUUGUAAACCUCUUUCAGCAGGGAAGAAGCGCAAGUGACGGUACCUGCAGAAGAAGCGCCGGCUAACUACGUGCCAGCAGCCGCGGUAAUACGUAGGGCGCAAGCGUUGUCCGGAAUUAUUGGGCGUAAAGAGCUCGUAGGCGGCUUGUCACGUCGGAUGUGAAAGCCCGGGGCUUAACCCCGGGUCUGCAUUCGAUACGGGCUAGCUAGAGUGUGGUAGGGGAGAUCGGAAUUCCUGGUGUAGCGGUGAAAUGCGCAGAUAUCAGGAGGAACACCGGUGGCGAAGGCGGAUCUCUGGGCCAUUACUGACGCUGAG
Molecule: ribosomal RNA, 676 nt
Filed under: Streptomyces sp.
Lineage: Bacteria; Bacillati; Actinomycetota; Actinomycetes; Kitasatosporales; Streptomycetaceae
Description: bacterial SSU rRNA
Rfam family: Bacterial small subunit ribosomal RNA
Source: RNAcentral